This is a small nucleolar RNA of Medicago truncatula (barrel medic), 86 nucleotides long. It matches the Rfam family "Plant small nucleolar RNA SNOR75". Rfam says of the family: U15 is a member of the C/D class of snoRNA which contain the C (UGAUGA) and D (CUGA) box motifs. NCBI's taxonomy places the organism in Eukaryota, Viridiplantae, Streptophyta, Magnoliopsida, Fabales, Fabaceae. The record is from Rfam.
UCUCUGUGAUGAUGAACAAUUGAUGUCGAGUCUGAAUCAUUCCAUUCUUAACCCUGAUGACAUAUCGAGGCAUUUGUCUGAGAGGA